GAUGAACGCUGGCGGCGUGCCUAAUACAUGCAAGUCGAGCGAACAGAUGAGGAUCUUGCUCCUCUGACGUUAGCGGCGGACGUGUGAGUAACACGUGUAUAACCUCCCUAUCUGUCUGGUAUAUCUUCGGGAAACCGGCUCUAAUACCGGAUAAUAUAUUGAACCGCAUGGUUCAUUAGUUAAUGUCGGUUUUUCUGUCUCUUCUAGAUGCUUCUGGGCGGCAUUAGCUGGUUGUUACGGUAACGGCUUACCACGGCAACGAUGCGUAGCCGACUUGCGAGGGUGAUCGGCGACACUGGAACGGAGACAGGGACCAGACGACUACGGGAGGGAGCAGUAGGGAAUCGGCCGCAAUGGGGGAAAGCAUGACGGAGCAAGGCGGAGUGAGAGAUGAAGGUGUUCGGAGCGUAAAACUCGGUUAUGAGGGAAGAACAAAUGUGGAAGUAACUAUGCAGGUCUUGACGGUAACGAAUAAGAAAGCCACGGCUAACUACGUG
RNAcentral lists this ribosomal RNA (497 nucleotides) under uncultured bacterium. RNAcentral describes it as "partial 16S ribosomal RNA". It matches the Rfam family "Bacterial small subunit ribosomal RNA", at positions 28 to 507 of the family's 1533-position model. The record is from RNAcentral.